This 71-nucleotide transfer RNA is filed under the name Loxodonta africana (African savanna elephant). It matches the Rfam family "tRNA". Rfam says of the family: Transfer RNA (tRNA) molecules are approximately 80 nucleotides in length. Their secondary structure includes four short double-helical elements and three loops (D, anti-codon, and T loops). The record is from Rfam by way of RNAcentral. Lineage: Eukaryota; Metazoa; Chordata; Mammalia; Proboscidea; Elephantidae.
GCAGUGAUGGUUCAGUGGUAGAAUUCUCACUUUCCGUGCAGGAGUCCAGGGUUCAAUUCCUGGUCAAUGCA